GCAAUGGUGGUUCAGGGGCAGGAUUCUUGCCUUCAAAGUGGAAGACCCAGGUUCGAUUUCUGGCCAGUGUG
RNAcentral lists this transfer RNA (71 nucleotides) under Loxodonta africana (African savanna elephant). It matches the Rfam family "tRNA". From Rfam's summary of the family: Transfer RNA (tRNA) molecules are approximately 80 nucleotides in length. Lineage: Eukaryota; Metazoa; Chordata; Mammalia; Proboscidea; Elephantidae. The record is from Rfam by way of RNAcentral.